GAGUUUGAUUAUGGCUCAGGAUGAACGCUGGCGGCGUGCUUAACACAUGCAAGUCGAACGGAACGUAACCGAGGAAAUUUUUCGAAGUGGAAUCGGUUACGUUUAGUGGCGGACGGGUGCGUAACACGUGGGCAACCUGCCCUGCUUUUCGGAAUAACGCCGGGAAACCGUCGCUAAUGCCGAAUGAUAUGAGAAGAAGGCAUCUUCUUUUCAUCAAAGAAUUUCGAAGCAGGAUGGGCCCGCGCCGGAUUAGCUGGUUGGUGAGGUAACGGCUCACCAAGGCGACGAUCCGUAGCCGACCUGAGAGGGUGAUCGGCCACACUGGAACUGAGACACGGUCCAGACUCCUACGGGAGGCAGCAGUGGGGAAUAUUGCACAAUGGGCGAAAGCCUGAUGCAGCAACGCCGCGUGAGCGAUGAAGGCUUUCGAGUCGUAAAGCUCUGUCGCAGGGGAAGAAAAAGACGUACCCU
This 471-nucleotide ribosomal RNA is filed under the name Peptostreptococcaceae bacterium canine oral taxon 005. RNAcentral describes it as "bacterial SSU rRNA". It matches the Rfam family "Bacterial small subunit ribosomal RNA", at positions 9 to 462 of the family's 1533-position model. The record is from RNAcentral. Lineage: Bacteria; Bacillati; Bacillota; Clostridia; Peptostreptococcales; Peptostreptococcaceae.